Molecule: non-coding RNA, 985 nt
Organism: Callorhinus ursinus (northern fur seal)
Lineage: Eukaryota; Metazoa; Chordata; Mammalia; Carnivora; Otariidae
Source: RefSeq, a predicted model, not a curated record
AUUCAUGUGUCAGCAUCAGCUGGAUUCUAUAUAUGUAUGGCUAGACCCUAAGCCCUUUGAAGGCAGGGAGCAGCUCCUUGUUCUCUGAGUUGCCUACAACCUAGGCACAAACUGAGUCUAAACAACACAAUUAUCUCUUUGGUCACAGUAAUUAGCAUGGCCCUGGCCUUGUUGCAGAGCCUGGUGCUGGCUGUAGGGGAUCAGAGAUAAAAGACCGAAUCCCUGAUUCCGAGGAACCUCAUCAAGAAGAUACAUUAAUGGUUAUUUGCACAUGGUAUGAUUGAGCUAUAAAGAAAGAAACAAAACACUCUAUGAGAACACAGAUUAUGGAACUCACUCAAGCCUGAGCUGCAGUUUGGUGAGAAGGAAAAGAGUGAGGGAAGACAUCCUAUUAUGGAUAGAGUCCCUAGUUUCUAUUGCUAAUAAUUUACAACACCCAUAAAACAAAGAACCAUAAAGAAACUUAAGUGUUGCAUUAAAAGGCAUGAACUCCUUGUUAUGUAAUAAGAGUUCAAAGAAAUGAUCAGAGCUUUGACACCCAGUAAGAAUAAUCAAGAAAGGUCCUAUGGAGAAUGAGGGUCUCAAAGUACAGCUGUCCAUUACUUCAUUUAAAACUCAAUGGUGAGCUCUCCGCCCGACCGCCGCCGCGCCAUCAUCAUGGACACGAGCUGUGUGCAGCCCAUGAAGUUGGCCAGGGUCACCAAGGUUCUGGGCAGGAUCAGCUUGCAAGGACAGUGCACGCAGGUGCGCGGGGAGUUCAUGGAAGACACGAGCCGCUCCAUCAUCUGCAACGUGAACGGCCCCGUGAGCGAGGGGGACUUGCUCACCCUAUUGGAGUCAGAGCGAGAAGCUCGGAGGUGGCGCUGAACUUGUGUCUGGGUCCUGGAUGUCUGGGUCGACCACUUGGCUCACAGGGAUGAUCUGCGAUUGUUAAUAAAGCGUUUAUGUUGUAUGUAAAAAAAAAAAAAAAAAAAAAAAAAAACAA